Pyrenochaeta sp. DS3sAY3a is the source of this 182-nucleotide non-coding RNA. NCBI's taxonomy places the organism in Eukaryota, Fungi, Ascomycota, Dothideomycetes, Pleosporales, Cucurbitariaceae. The record is from the annotation of a GenBank genome assembly.
GGGCAGAUAGUUUAGUGGUAGAACACCGCACGUCAGUUUUGCGGGAUUCCGGCAGGUCAGGCAGGCAGGCAGUUCAGGCAGGACGCACCCCGGUCAGGCGGGUCGCUAUUCAGGGAGGUACCCUUCGGGGCCUCGUGCAUCUCAGGUCUGCGGAGACUCAGGUUCGAUUCCUGGUCUGCUCG